RNAcentral lists this ribosomal RNA (2314 nucleotides) under human metagenome. RNAcentral describes it as "bacterial LSU rRNA". It matches the Rfam family "Bacterial large subunit ribosomal RNA", at positions 14 to 2317 of the family's 2925-position model. The record is from RNAcentral.
AGGGCGUACGGUGGAUGCCUUGGCGAUAUCAGCCGAAGAAGGACGCGGUAAGCUGCGAUAAGCUACGGAGAGGUGCAAGCAACCUUUGACCCGUAGAUUUCCGAAUGGGGGAACCCGGCAGUGGUUAUGCACUGUCACCCAUACCUUUGAGUAUGAGGAGGGCACCUGGGGAACUGAAACAUCUAAUUACCCAGAGGAAAAGUAAUCAAACGAGAUUUUCUUAGUAGCGGCGAGCGAACGGGAAAGAGGCCAAACCGGAGUGGGCAACCACACCGGGGUUGAGGACAGUCAUCAAGUGUAAAUGAGGUAGAAGAAUCGAGUUGGAAAGCUCAGCCGAAGAAGGUGAAAGCCCUGUAAUCGAAACCUUGCAUACAUGGGACUGUAUCCAGAGUACCACGAGACACGUGAAACCUUGUGGGAAGCAGGGGGGACCACCCUCCAAGCCAAAAUACUGAUAUCGACCGAUAGCGCAUAGUACCGUGAGGGAAAGGUGAAAAGAACCCCUGGCGGGGAGUGAAAGAGAACCUGAAACCGUAUGUCUACAAACAGUCGAAGUCUGUAUAUAUAUCAGGACGACGGCGUGCCUAUUGAAGAAUGAACCGACGAGUUACUGUUGCUAGCGAGGUUAAGUGGAAAACACGGAGCCGCAGCGAAAGCGAGUCUGAACAGGGCGUUCAGUUAGUAAUAGUAGACCCGAAACCGUAGUGAUCUAUCCAUGGCCAGGUUGAAGCACAGGUAAAAUUGUGUGGAGGACCGAACUCGUGAGCGUUGAAAAGCUUUGGGAUGAGUUGUGGAUAGGGGUGAAAUGCCAAUCGAACACGGAGAUAGCUGGUUCUCCCCGAAAUAGCUUUAGGGCUAGCCUCGAGGUUGAGAGUAUAGGCGGUAGAGCACUGAUCGGGCUAGGGGCCAUACCGGUUACCGAACCUAGUCAAACUACGAAUGGCUAUACUUAUACUCGGGAGUCAGACAGUGAAUGAUAAGGUCCAUUGUCAAGAGGGAAACAGCCCAGAACACCGACUAAGGUCCCAAAUGUUACACUAAGUGGCGAAGGAUGUGGAAUUUCCAAAACAACCAGGAUGUUGGCUUAGAAGCAGCCACCAUUUAAAGAGUGCGUAAUAGCUCACUGGUCGAGAGACUCUGCGCCGAAAAUGUCCGGGGCUAAAGUGUAAAACCGAAGUCGUGUCAUAUGCAGCAAUGUAUAUGGGUAGGGGAGCGUUCUCAUCGGGCUGAAGCAGUACCGUAAGGAGUUGUGGACUGAUGAGAAGUGAGAAUGUCGGUAUGAGUAGCGAAAAGAAUGGUGAGAAUCCAUUCCACCGAAAGCCUAAGGGUUCCUGAGCAACGAUCGUCGUCUCAGGGUAAGUCGGGACCUAAGCCGAGGCGGAAAAGCGUAGGCGAUGGACAACAGGUUGAAAUUCCUGUACCGGUGUGAAUCGUUUGAUCGAAGGAGUGACACAGUAAGGUAGGUCAGCACGCGAUUGGAAGUGCGUGUUUAAGCAUGUAGGUUGAGCUAUAGGCAAAUCCGUAGCUCUAAAAGCUGAGAUGUGAUGACGAGUUACUAGCGAUAGUAACGAAGUGAUUGAUCCUACACUGUCGAGAAAAGCUUCUAGGUAGAGACACAUCGCCCGUACCAAAACCGACACAGGUAGGCGGGGAGAGAAUCCUAAGGUGCGCGGGAAAACCCUCGUUAAGGAACUCGGCAAAAUGCCUCCGUAACUUCGGGAAAAGGAGGACUCAUGUAGUGUGAAGUGCAGCAACGCAUGGAGCAUGAAUGAGUGGCACAAGAGAGGCGCAAGCGACUGUUUACCACAAACACAGGUGCCUGCUAAAGCGAAAGCUGAUGUAUAGGUGCUGACACCUGCCCGGUGCUGGAAGGUUAAGAGGAGGGGUUAGACUUCGGUCGAAGCUCUGAAUUGAAGCCCCAGUAAACGGCGGCCGUAACUAUAACGGUCCUAAGGUAGCGAAAUUCCUUGUCGGGUAAGUUCCGACCCGCACGAAAGGUGUAACGACUUGCGCACUGUCUCAACGAGGGACCCGGUGAAAUUGAAGUACCUGUGAAGAUGCAGGUUACCCGCGACUGGACAGAAAGACCCCAUGGAGCUUUACUGCAACCUAAGAUUGAACUUAGUUAAUGAAUGUACAGGAUAGGUGGGAGACGUAGAACCUAGGACGCCAGUUUUAGGGGAGUCGUUGUUGGGAUACCACCCUUUCAUUAAUUGAUUUCUAACGGGCCGAGUAACGACCGGCCGGACAGUCUUAGGCGGGCAGUUUGACUGGGGCGGUCGCCUCCUAAAGAGUAACGGAGGCGCCCAAAGGU